AGCAGCCGCGGUAAUUCCAGCUCCAAUAGCGUAUAUUAAAGUUGUUGCAGUUAAAAAGCUCGUAGUUGAAUUUCGGGGUUAGUAGGCUGGUCAUGCCACCGGUAUGUACUGGUCUUUCUGAUUCCUCCUUCCUGAUGAACUGUAAUGCCAUUAAUUUGGUGUUGCAGGGAAUCUGGACUGUUACUUUGAAAAAAU
RNAcentral lists this ribosomal RNA (195 nucleotides) under uncultured Glomus. RNAcentral describes it as "partial 18S ribosomal RNA". It matches the Rfam family "Eukaryotic small subunit ribosomal RNA", at positions 569 to 766 of the family's 1831-position model. Lineage: Eukaryota; Fungi; Glomeromycota; Glomeromycetes; Glomerales; Glomeraceae. The record is from RNAcentral.